This is a non-coding RNA of Felis catus (domestic cat), 85 nucleotides long. Lineage: Eukaryota; Metazoa; Chordata; Mammalia; Carnivora; Felidae. The record is from Rfam.
ACCUGGGUGGCUUAGUCAGUUAAGCAGCUGACUUCAGCUCAGGUCAUGAUCUCAUGGUUCGUGGGUUCAAGCCCCACAUCGGGCU